CAGAUUGAUCCAGAACACUCGAGAGAGCAUCAGAGCUCUCUGACCCGAACUGCAACCCACCGGAAAUCGCCCCUCCGGCCAUCUCUCUGCGGAGGACCACCGGAAAAAGCUUCGUCUGGUCGUCGCCUACUUUCCUAUGGGCUCAGAUUAUACAUGCAGCAACUGCGAACGGAGAGCAGACGACGAGAAGCCCCGACCUAUCUCCGGCAACCUCUGUAAUUUCCGGCGAAUCCGGCCACCGUUUGGGCUGCCUUUGGUAGAACUUCAUCCUCUCGUCAAGCUCUACAUGUCUGUAUAAUUAAUUUUUAAAGUUGAUCGAGUGUUGACAAUUUCGUGUCUGGGUUUGGUCUCGGGCUACUGUGUUAUUCGACGCCGGCGACUCUUCCGUCCUUUCUGGGCUUCGUUUCUGGCUGGACAGCAUCUGUAGGCCGGGCCUCAAGGAUCACGCUAGGUUGUAGCACCAGAAACAUCAGUUCUUCCUCAAGCCAACUUCGGCAGCGUGUAGGAAACUGGGUUUGGCUUAAAUCAAUUCUUGAAGGACUCCAGUUACCCGAGGAACGGAAGGUUCGCAACUCUCGGAAUACGUGAGAGAAAGUAUCGGAAUCCAGUGUGGAUGCAGGUACUAUGCACUGGUGACGGGACAAUAGCGGACGGAGCUGGGUGUGCGGAACAAGUUCGGUAAACUUUGUUGUUUAGGUCUUGUUCUAAAUUCUAUUUCUCGAACUUCGUAUUUCGAGACUUGUUGAUAGUUAGUCUUGUGUCAAUUUUGGUUGAGUUCUCGUUUCCUUGAAAUUCAUACCUCGUGUGAUCCUUAUACAAGUACUGGAUGAGUGAAAUAGAUUUCAGCAACGCAAGUUUUUCACCUCAAAAAUAUCGAUAGCUCCCGCUGUGUGUUGCAAAAAGUUUUCUAACAAAAUGCCUAGCGGUCCUCUAGAAUGUGAAUCGAGCUUUCGGUUUAUAUUUUAGAGCUCCGCGGCACUGUGAUGUGCCCAAGUUGGUGAGGUGCGGUUUGGGGGCGUUACAAAAAGUGGUAUCAGAGCAAUGCUUUUGAGUCUUCGAUUUCAAUGAUUUAAAAACGUCUGAUACCCGAAAAAGUUCUGUUGGCUCGUGAAAAAUUUUCAAAUCCUGUUAAAAGAUUGACUUGAGAAAUGGUUGUUCAAAAACGUGUUGCGGAAGUCAGAACCUUUGACUUGAAAAGUUGUUAGAAUUUCCACCUAACGUUUGAAAAGGUUUGACUUCACGUUACUGUUCAAAAGUGUUGGUUUUGGGUGUUUACUAUUUACGUGCUUAAACCCGUACCGACUUUGAAAUGUCUUUUGUCGGAAUGACGCUUUGUGACGAAAAAGGCAAGUUUUAGUGGAAAUCGUUGUUUAACUUCAACGUGGGUUUUUCAUUUGAGGUUUUUGAACAAAACCUUACACUGAUUUAAACAGUUUUUCGAAGUUUGUCUAGAGUCUUGAUUUCCAGUUACGUGGGAGAUUUUAGGAAUUUCUUUACCAUGAAAUUCCGGUUCACUCCUUCGUAGUGAGAAAUAAUUGUUGCUAGUGUGUGUUCAUAUAAUUACAACUCUUCACGCAGUUUAGGGCCCGACUGGCCACCGAAUCCCCCUAAUGUAUGUCGCAUUUGAAAGUUGUUAAUUACUGAAUACAACUUGCGAUAAAUAAAUGACUCUGGAGUUAUUCUCCGAAACUUCAGCGUGUUGUCAGUCGAAACUGUUGUUUGUUUUGUUUUUGGAUUCCUUAAUCCGAAAAUCGUUAUCCCUUCUUCGAAAGGUUGACAUAUGUUCCGACUUGUCUUUGAAAUUGAAAUUGUGGUUGCGUGAUUUCCUAUACUUUUGAAUGUUGUUAUAUUGUUGGAUUCACUUACCGAUUUGGUUGUUUGCCAUCGCUUUGAUCAGUGAAUCUGGUUCGUUAAAAAUUGUGCUUAUUGCUAUUGAAGUUGGACUUGCUGAUUGAUUCUUCCUUGGAUAUCCUGUCGAGUCUAGUUUACUUGAUUGCUUCCACAGACUCGAUUGUUGUGAUUUGUGUCAUCAUCUUAUCAAGUCCAACUGUUGUAUGUUCAUACAUUAUGUUGAAUUGGUUUAUGGAUUCACUUCCAAAUUGUGCAUAAUCACGUGAAUCCUGUUCAUCGAAAUAUUGUUGGUAAGACUUGAUGUUACAUCUGUCUUGUAAUCUUUAUCGAGUCCAGUUACUGUUCAUCUCUUUAUUUGUUCUUGGAAUUUGAACAAGUAUUGCCACCCAAAGCUCCUCCACAGUGCACAGACUGUGAGAAAGGUUAUAUGGGCCCAGUAUGAGGUAAAAGUAAAAAGGAAAAGGUACGUGAACGACAAACUUUGGGUCCCAAUAAGCAUAGUUGAUGUUUGGACAACUGUCUUGUGAAUUUCUGUUAGUUGUCUGAGUGAUGUUGAUUGUUGCUCUCAUGUUAGACUUGAAAUGUCAUUUGACAACUCUCGAGGAAAUUGAAUCAUUAUUCCGAGAAGAUCCUGUCGAGCGCAACUCGUUGACGCUUCUCGUGCCUCAGGGGUAUGAGUCAAGGAAAAGUUGAUCUUCAGCUACUUAAUCUACUGAACAGCGGAAUGAAAUUCCUCGCUUAGACCUGUCGACUUCGAAAUUAAGUAAGAGAGAUUUAAUUGUGCUUUAGUGCUCGCCAUUUGACGUUGCUUGUGAAAUUUUAGGAUUUUAAAAUCUGGAAGCAUGGUUUCGGCGAGUGGUACCACAUAAGGCGUUGCUUUGGGGUAGCCGAGGAAGCUACGCGAUUAGAAGAUUUAUGGGUUUGACUAAGGUCACCCUAUGUUAUACUAUGUAGUGUGUAGACCUCCUUGGAAAUGGUUUAGCAAGUUAAUGCGGAUUCAGCAUGGACCAGAAGCAUGUCAUAAAGGAAGAAGGAGAAAAGGUGUGUGUCACUGAGCGACCUCUAUGGCGACUUCUCAAAUUUUGUUUCUUCGACACACUCGUAUGUGCGGCAGAAACUCUGUGUCAAUUAUGGCUAUAGUUGACUCGAGUUUUGGACGUCAAGAUGGGCGUAUGUACGAGGAAACAAGGCUACUUUGUUCCGUGGACCAAAUGGUUCGACUCUAGGUAUCGAGAAAUUUGGGCUGACGGUUGUGACUGACGGUUUUGGUUAGGCGGACGGUUGUGAUUGUGAUUUUGGGCUGUAUUGAAGACGCAGCUGGAUUGAGUCAUGGUGGUAACUGGGUUACGACAUCAUGAGUACGUAGUCUGUGGUAUGCGUGCGUGCGGUCAUGGUGGUAACUAGGUUACGGCAUUAUGAUUACGUAGUCUGUUGUAUGCGUGCGGUCAUGGUGGUAACUGUGUUAUUGCAUCAUGAGGGUUUUUGUGCAGGUUUGAUUAUCGAGUGAUCAUUAUCAAAGCUGAGGUGUACGUUCAAUGGUGUGGACGUGGAAGGGUGCUCUUAGUUUUAAGUCUUCCGCUGGGUAGUGAGUUGUGGUGGGUGUGUUUACUUAUUGAAUUGUCAUUCGGUUUGAUUUGUAAACUAUCUGUAAUAUAAUAUGUGACUCUAAAUAACAAGUCGGUAUUGAAAUUGUGAGUUCA
Molecule: long non-coding RNA, 3551 nt
Organism: Rosa chinensis
Lineage: Eukaryota; Viridiplantae; Streptophyta; Magnoliopsida; Rosales; Rosaceae
Exons: 5
Source: RefSeq, a predicted model, not a curated record